GAUGAACGCUGGCGGCGUGCCUAAUACAUGCAAGUCGAGCGAACAGACGAGGAGCUUGCUCCUCUGACGUUAGCGGCGGACGGGUGAGUAACACGUGGAUAACCUACCUAUAAGACUGGGAUAACUUCGGGAAACCGGAGCUAAUACCGGAUAAUAUAUUGAACCGCAUGGUUCAAUAGUGAAAUACGGUUUUGCUGUCACUUAUAGAUGGAUCCGCGCCGCAUUAGCUAGUUGGUAAGGUAACGGCUUACCAAGGCAACGAUGCGUAGCCGACCUGAGAGGGUGAUCGGCCACACUGGAACUGAGACACGGUCCAGACGCCUACGGGAGGCAGCAGUAGGGAAUGUUCCGCAAUGGGCGAAAGCAUGACGGAGCAACGCCGCGUGAGUGAUGAAGGUCUUCGGAUCGUAAAACUCUGUUAUUAGGGAAGAACAAAUGUGUAAGUAACUAUGCACGUCUUGACGGUACCUAAUCAGAAAGCCACGGCUAACUACGUG
RNAcentral lists this ribosomal RNA (497 nucleotides) under uncultured bacterium. Its description in RNAcentral is "partial 16S ribosomal RNA". It matches the Rfam family "Bacterial small subunit ribosomal RNA", at positions 28 to 507 of the family's 1533-position model. The record is from RNAcentral.